CCUUAAAGAUUGAUUUGCGCCAUAGCCUUAGAUCAACGACCGGGAGCUAGGCCGCAGGUAUGAGUAUAUGAUGGCGUUCCCCGAAGGCGAACAAAAACGAGAGAAGCCAAUUAUUAUAUAGCGUCUCCUUUCAACAAUGUCCGAUAAUUGGAUCCAGCAACCGUGGGCUUUUUGAGCGCAGGCCGCGGCAGCGGCAGCAGCAGCGGGCUACCGGUUCCUUCCUCUGCUCGGCGGCCUGAACCUCUCCCCUAGGUCCGGGCCCAGGCAUCAGUAGCAGCAGCAACGCGGUGGUCGUUUGAAGCCGCGGGCCGGUUCCAGGAGGCGACGGAGGCCGCCUCUUCUGCUGCUGCUGCUAGCGUUCUACGGCUUGAUGCAAACCCACGGAGACGUCGACGACGACUGCCGCCAGCGCACGACGGGCGACGACCGCGACCAAUACUGCGCCUGCCUGACCCACCUCUUCCAGCAGAAGAGGCGGCAAGACGACGGGUGGCAGCAGCCGCAGAAGAAGAAGGACGCGCGGCACACGUUCUCCGGCGCGUACCGGCAGCAACGGUCGUACUAGUUCUCUAUCUCGGGACCAGCCGAGCGAAGUCGUAGACUGCAGGUGUAUGUACUCGUGAUUGGUGUAGGUGUGCUGUGUGUAGCAUACGAAACUUCACAAUAUAUUCUCUCUGGAUAUGUGCACCACACAUGAUCCACAUACUAAACUACAAAUUCCCAGGUUGAGUACGCGCACACCAGCACGAACACACAAACAAUUAUCUACACAAUCACGGUGACAGUCAGAAUAUACACAUAUUAAAAAAAGGAAAAAAAACACCACAAUAUUCGAAGUCUCACUUCUAAUGAAGUUGGUUUUGUUUUCCUCCUAUACAACUUUAGUAAUAAUGACGUUCUUACACAGAUCUGGCGGAUAGCUGAAGUCGUAGCAUUAACCGGAUUAACGCCGUACACGGUGAAUAACUUCGCGCUUGGCCUAAGACGCCAAGUGGAGUACAAUUUUACAGCAAAACACCAAGCCUAGACUUUAUAAUA
RNAcentral lists this ribosomal RNA (1038 nucleotides) under Triticum aestivum (bread wheat). Its description in RNAcentral is "partial small subunit ribosomal RNA". Lineage: Eukaryota; Viridiplantae; Streptophyta; Magnoliopsida; Poales; Poaceae. The record is from RNAcentral.